Molecule: long non-coding RNA, 519 nt
Organism: Cryptomeria japonica (Japanese cedar)
Lineage: Eukaryota; Viridiplantae; Streptophyta; Pinopsida; Cupressales; Cupressaceae
Exons: 3
Source: RefSeq, a predicted model, not a curated record
AGGUAAAUCACAUAUUUCAGAGUUCAAGUCUAUGCAAUGUUAUUGACAGUUAGCUGCUACGUUGAAAUCUUCAAUAUAAUGCAGAGAGAGUCUAUUUUGCAGUUAUUCACAUCUUGGUAGACCGGCCAUCUAGAUAAAUUUUAUAUUUGAAUUAGAGAGGCCAUCUUAAAUGUAAUUCUUGACACCCAGAAGAACAGAAGUAUGUUUCUAUAAAUAUCAGGCGCCUUCGUUCUAAAAAGUUUGGAAUGGGUUAUUCUGCUCACAAUUUUUUUUUAUAUCGUCUGUGCAAAUAUGAGACUCAUGAAUAGUUAUAUGUUGAAGCUUGAACAGAGAUGUCGGUGCAUUGAAAGCUUAAGGAAAAGAAAGGAGCAGUUGAUUCAGAAGGAUUCAAACGCAUGACUAGAUCUUUGAACCAUUGUACUUGGACUGUAGAUAAGCUGACUAUGUAUAAUGGUUAAUGUACUGCCGACGAAGGGAAUUUGUAAAACAGUUCAUCUAAAAUAUAAGGCUUUUGAAUGA